This 213-nucleotide ribosomal RNA is filed under the name uncultured Planctomycetales bacterium. RNAcentral's name for it is "partial 16S ribosomal RNA". It matches the Rfam family "Bacterial small subunit ribosomal RNA", at positions 427 to 643 of the family's 1533-position model. Lineage: Bacteria; Pseudomonadati; Planctomycetota; Planctomycetia; Planctomycetales. The record is from RNAcentral.
GGAGUUAUGUUAUGUGUAGGGACGAAUACUCCCUAUGCUUGACUAAGGCUCCUAAAGAAGCCACGGCUAAAUGCGUGCCAGCAGCCGCGGUUAGACGCAUGUGGCGAGCGUUAUUCGGAAUCACUGGGCUUUUAGGGCACGUAGGCUGCCUGGUUAGCGGAUGGUGAUAGCCCUCGGCUCUACCGUGGUAUUGCCGUCUGUACUGCCUUGCUU